Molecule: microRNA, 21 nt
Filed under: Asparagus officinalis (garden asparagus)
Lineage: Eukaryota; Viridiplantae; Streptophyta; Magnoliopsida; Asparagales; Asparagaceae
Description: aof-miR12150
Source: miRBase by way of RNAcentral
UUAACAGCAUUGUCGAAAAGC